Brassica napus (rape) is the source of this 124-nucleotide non-coding RNA. The record is from Rfam. NCBI's taxonomy places the organism in Eukaryota, Viridiplantae, Streptophyta, Magnoliopsida, Brassicales, Brassicaceae.
GGAAUAUAAGAAUCCGUCUCUUAAUUUUUAAUUAAAAAACCAAGAACCGAUUUUUAAAUAAGAUAUUUAAGAACCGGUUCUUAGCAUUUUUAAUUAAAAGUUAAGAGACGGUUUUUUAUAUUCC